RNAcentral lists this ribosomal RNA (460 nucleotides) under uncultured bacterium. RNAcentral's name for it is "partial 16S ribosomal RNA". It matches the Rfam family "Bacterial small subunit ribosomal RNA", at positions 338 to 795 of the family's 1533-position model. The record is from RNAcentral.
CCUACGGGAGGCUGCAGUGAGGAAUAUUGGUCAAUGGACGGGAGACUGAACCAGCCAAGUAGCGUGAAGGAUGAAUGCCCAAUGGGUUGUAAACUUCUUUUAUAUGGGAAUAAAACGUUCCACGUGUGGGAUUUUGUAUGUACCAUAUGAAUAAGCAUCGGCUAACUCCGUGCCAGCAGCCGCGGUAAUACGGAGGAUCCGAGCGUUAUCCGGAUUUAUUGGGUUUAAAGGGUGCGUAGGGGGAUUGUUAAGUCAGGUGUGAAAGUUUGGGGCUCAACCGUAAAAUUGCAGUUGAAACUGGCAGUCUCGAGUACAGUAGAGGUGUGCGGAAUGCGCGGUGUAGCGGUGAAAUGCUUAGAUAUCACGAAGAACUCCGAUUGCGAAGGCAGUUCACUGGACUGCAACUGACACUGAGGCUCGAAAGCGUGUGUAUCAAACAGGAUUAGAUACCCGGGUAGUC